RNAcentral lists this transfer RNA (75 nucleotides) under bacterium. RNAcentral describes it as "tRNA-Cys". It matches the Rfam family "tRNA". From Rfam's summary of the family: Transfer RNA (tRNA) molecules are approximately 80 nucleotides in length. Their secondary structure includes four short double-helical elements and three loops (D, anti-codon, and T loops). The record is from RNAcentral.
GGCGGCGUGGCCAAGUGGUAAGGCAGAGGUCUGCAAAACCUCCAUUCACCGGUUCAAAUCCGGUCGCCGCCUCCA